GCCGAGCUCAGUAAUGUGGGCUUGUAACCCAAAUGGGGGCAACAAUGUGGUGGAAUGUUGGGCUGCUUUAUUUGGUAGGGCUUGGUGGGCUAAAUUCUGGCCUGCCCUAUCCAAGCUCAGAGUUGGGUCACGUGGCCCAAGCGAAAGCAUGGGUUGCUGGACUCCUAAAGUGGGGCGGACUGCGUGAGGCUGGUUUCACAGAGCAACGAAUAGUUCCCGCUCUGUCCAGUGGAAGGAUAAUGGGCUGGUGUCCUCUAGGCCCAAUAAAUGCCAGAUGGGUUGUUCCAAUUAAACCAUCACUUUU
This 304-nucleotide signal recognition particle RNA is filed under the name Nicotiana attenuata. Its description in RNAcentral is "SRP RNA Plant_SRP". It matches the Rfam family "Plant signal recognition particle RNA". Lineage: Eukaryota; Viridiplantae; Streptophyta; Magnoliopsida; Solanales; Solanaceae. The record is from Rfam by way of RNAcentral.